UUACCAAUUAGUUACUACCAGACCUAGGUUUCUCCACCUGACAAUUAUGAACCACAGACUCAAAUGUAGGUCUUGAUGAGCUGCAACAUUUAUUUAUAGACAAACCAAAACCCACACUGUACAUUUACUA
Etheostoma cragini (Arkansas darter) is the source of this 130-nucleotide long non-coding RNA. RefSeq lists it as uncharacterized. The record is from RefSeq and is a predicted model, not a curated record. NCBI's taxonomy places the organism in Eukaryota, Metazoa, Chordata, Actinopteri, Perciformes, Percidae. The transcript is spliced from 3 exons.